UUAUAAACAAGUAUAAGUAACCUAGAAACAGUUUCCACAGUGAGCCAGACUUAUACGAUGGCAUUUUAGGCUAUCUUCUUAUGCUGGCCAAAUUUUAUGGCAGACGUUGACUGAAAUACAUAUAAUGCCAAAACCUCUAAUAUGGACCAAGACAUUCCCUUGGUUUGGUUCUGGUAUAGCUGAAGAAGCCUCAGUCCAUUUGUGUUCUCCCUAUUCAAACACAGACCAGACAUAAGGGCUCGGAGGUGAUUACUGUUUGCCAUCAGACAUGAACUUGUGGGCUGAAAUGAAGGACUGGCUCAUAACCAGCUGACUCUAUCUUGGAUUGUGACUUGGUCACUGUCAUCACCAACUAUUAUAUGAAGAAUCAGUUGUCCUGGCUCCAAGAAGGAAAUGCCAUGUAGUACCUUAGCUACUAACAUGCCAGAGGAUCCUGUAUAUGCAGCCCAAUGAAGCCAUGGCCUGUAUCAUCAGCGUUCCCAUUCAACCUGUUGGUCCUUGGUUUAUACCUUUAUCUUUUCAAUGAAAACACUUUCCUUCUUGUUGGAAAAGACAAAUAAUUCUAAAUCUGAUAAAACAUUAAUAAGCUCAGGGCUACCCCAAAUUCCUUCAUUGCAAUAUACAAAAUAAACUCAUGAUCAACCAA
This is a long non-coding RNA of Mastomys coucha (southern multimammate mouse), 646 nucleotides long. RefSeq lists it as uncharacterized. Lineage: Eukaryota; Metazoa; Chordata; Mammalia; Rodentia; Muridae. The transcript has 2 exons. The record is from RefSeq and is a predicted model, not a curated record.